CGUCAACAAAAAGCAGCGCAGUUCCUUUGAAGUUGGAAGUAGAAGUUUACUUGCGCGCGCGGGCCGGAAUUCGCUGCUGCGUUCGAUAUCAGGGUAUUUUUCAUCCGGCUAUUGUGAUUCGCUAUUUAUGCAGAAUAAGACGGCCUACGCGCAGACGAUUCGCCGAUUGCUUUGCAUUUUUCAAGGCCGAGCCUAGUGUGUGUAUGUGUUGAUGCGCUUACUUCCGCACGACCAGCUUGAUGAGGUGUGAGCUGGAAAAAACGUGCAGCUGAUGAUGCUGUUUACGGAACCUGAGCGAUAAAGAAGAUGUUUAUUCUUGACAUUUUAAAAUUACUUAUGAUAAACCUCAGAUGACUGUACAAUGGCAGAAAUAUACUAGGUUAGAAGAUGCUGUGAAAAAAUUGUGUGUUUAUAACUUGACUCUUCAAAAACAACAGGAAAUAUGAUCCGCUAAAUCUUUACCAAAUGAUUGUUUUUAUAGAAUAAAAUAUGAUGUUUUGUGCA
Molecule: long non-coding RNA, 504 nt
Organism: Nasonia vitripennis (jewel wasp)
Lineage: Eukaryota; Metazoa; Arthropoda; Insecta; Hymenoptera; Pteromalidae
Exons: 2
Source: RefSeq, a predicted model, not a curated record